Molecule: ribosomal RNA, 842 nt
Filed under: uncultured Gammaproteobacteria bacterium
Lineage: Bacteria; Pseudomonadati; Pseudomonadota; Gammaproteobacteria
Description: bacterial SSU rRNA
Rfam family: Bacterial small subunit ribosomal RNA
Source: RNAcentral
CUGGCGGUAGGCUUAACACAUGCAAGUCGUGCGAGAAAGUACCUUCGGGUGCGAGUAGAGCGGCGGACGGGUGAGUAACGCGUAGGAAUCUACCUAGUAGAAGGGGAUAGCCCGAGGAAACUCGGAUUAAUACCGUAUACCUCCUUAGGGAGAAAGAGGGCUUAGCUUUGAUGCUCUCGCUAUUAGAUGAGCCUGCGUAAGAUUAGCUUGUUGGUGAGGUAAUGGCUCACCAAGGCGACGAUCUUUAGCUGGUCUGAGAGGACGAUCAGCCACAUUGGGACUGAGACACGGCCCAGACUCCUACGGGAGGCAGCAGUGGGGAAUAUUGGACAAUGGGCGCAAGCCUGAUCCAGCCAUACCGCGUGUGUGAAGAAGGCUUUCGGGUUGUAAAGCACUUUAAGUAAGGAGAAAAAGAUUGUAGUUAAUACCUGCAAUCCUUGAUGUUACUUACAGAAUAAGGACCGGCUAAUUCCGUGCCAGCAGCCGCGGUAAUACGGAAGGUCCAAGCGUUAAUCGGAAUUACUGGGCGUAAAGCGCGCGUAGGUGGUUUUUUAAGUUGGAUGUGAAAGCCCUGGGCUCAACCUAGGAACUGCAUCCAAAACUAGAUGACUAGAGUACGAAAGAGGGAAGUAGAAUUCACAGUGUAGCGGUGGAAUGCGUAGAUAUUGUGAAGAAUACCAAUGGCGAAGGCAGCUUCCUGGUUCUGUACUGACACUAAGGUGCGAAAGCGUGGGUAGCGAACAGGAUUAGAUACCCUGGUAGUCCACGCCGUAAACGAUGACAACUAGCUGUUGGGAGACAAGAUCUUUCAGUGGCGCAGCUAACGCUUUAAGUUGUCCGCC